GUGCUCGGGGACGGAGCCGGCGGUGGGGGAGCCGGGCAUGCCGCCGAAGCCGCUGAACGGGGAGCCGCCGCCGAAGAGGGGCAUGCUGCCGAUGCUGCCGCUGCCGGGCAGGAACCCAGGCAUGCUGCUGCCGCCGCUGCUCCCGGGCAGGCUGAACCCGGGAAUGCUGCUGCCAGGAAUGCUGCUGCCGGUGCCGGGGAGGCCGCCGAACGCCGGGGACGCGCCGCCGCCGAGGCGGUCGAAGGGCGGGAAGGUCUGCGGCUGCACCACCGCGUCGUUGUCCGCCUUCUUCUCCG
RNAcentral lists this long non-coding RNA (296 nucleotides) under Sorghum bicolor (sorghum). Its description in RNAcentral is "long non-coding RNA (SBIC_LNC004174)". Lineage: Eukaryota; Viridiplantae; Streptophyta; Magnoliopsida; Poales; Poaceae. The record is from RNAcentral.